Callithrix jacchus (white-tufted-ear marmoset) is the source of this 5952-nucleotide non-coding RNA. The record is from RefSeq and is a predicted model, not a curated record. Lineage: Eukaryota; Metazoa; Chordata; Mammalia; Primates; Cebidae.
CCCCGCUGGCCGCUCCCGUUCCCGCCCCCCACCGGAGCCUUUCCGGUGGCUCCGCCCACAGCGGGGCCGCUUCUCAAGCCACGCCUGCGCAGGUCGUCGGCGAGUGGCCCGGGUUAGCUUCCCCAUAAGAUGGAGUCUCGUUCUGUCUCAGGCUGGAUGGAGCACAAUGGCGCGAUCUCUGCUCACUGGGUUCGAGCAAUUCUCCUGCUUCAGCUUCCCGAGUAGCUGGUACUACAGGCCCAGCCCUAGCCACCCAUGAACCAAUCAGCAUGUACUUCCUCACCUCUGAAGCCCAGAAAAACCCCUGGACUCAGCCAGACUCCAGAUGUCCAGAAGACCUGCCUGUGGAGAGGAGCUACCUAGUCCAUGGUCUUCUCUCUACUGAAAGCUGGGAAGAAGUCAGGACUACCAGCUGCAGAGAGAAGCUGCCCACGCUAGGGUCUCCUCUGCUGAGAGCUGAACACCAUUGGGACAACCUGCCUUUGGAGAGGAGAUGCCUACUGUGGGCCUCCUCUCUGCUCAGAGCUGAACAAUGGGACACCCUGCCUGUGGAGAGGAGCAGUCCACUGUGGUUCCCUCUGAGCUGUUCUGUCAGUAAGUUCCUCUUCAACUUACUCACCCUCCACUUGUCUGUGUACUUCAUUCUUCCUAGACACAGGACAAGAAUUGGGAUGCACUGAAUGGCUGGGCUAAAAGAGCUAUGACACAAACUGGUCUGAAACACGCCCCUUGCUCACCAUGUCGUAGGCAAUAAGGAGAGAAGAGCUACAGCCCUUUGGGGAGACCAGACCUAGGAGCUCCAAGCCAGGGCUUGACACCCUCUCUGGGGCUCUGUGUUUCCUGGCAUCUCCAAGUUUCCAGGUGCCACCACGUUCCUGAGUGCCAGCCGUGGAAGCUGCUUGCAGUACACCUGGUCCAGGCACAGCCUCACAGGGAGCUGGCACCUGUGCUGGUGCUUGGGGCUGCCUGCCCCACCACAGCCAGUGUGCCUGGAUGUCCUCAGUGGCUGGGCCCCAUACUUGCUCACUCACAUACCCCGCUCUGCUUGCAUCUGGCUCGCCCUUGGCAGGCAUAAGAUUCAGGCCAGUAGUGCAAGCUGAGCUGAGUGGGUGGAACAAGUCCAGUGGGCCCAAGUAAAAACUCAGGCAAAAGUGCCACCAGCCACAGAGGUUUCCAGCUGGUGAAGUGACACCUGCAGGAUCCCAUGACAUCAGCUCACUGCAGCCUCAACCUCCUGGGUUCAAGAGAUCCUCCUGCCUCAGCCUCCCAAGGUACUGGAACUACAGGCAUGCACCACGAUGCCCAGCUAAUUUUUGUAUCUUUCAUAGAGAUGAGGUUUUACCAUAUUGCCCAGGUUAGUCUUGAACUCCUGGGCUCAAGUGAUCCACCUGCCUUGGCCUCCCAAAGUGCUGGGAUUAUAGGCAUGAGCCACUGUGCCCAGCCUCAGAAAAGAAUGUUAAAGGAGUAGCUCCUGAAAGCCUAGACACUCCCACUCUAGACUUUCAGGAGCUACUCCUUGAAUGUUCUUUGAGGGUGACAUCCCUCAAAAUCAGUCAUUUCCCUUCCCAUUCCCAUGGCUGGAGUCAGUGGUUCUCAGUCUAGCCUAUUUAAUAGAAUCACUUGGGAAUGGACAUCCAAGUCCCCCCUAGACCAAUUUAAAAAAUCCUUUGGAAAAAUCCAAAGUGAUGGGAUGAGGAUGUGUGCCUGCUGGCUAUAAGUACUGAGCUGUUACUUCCACCAUCAUCUCUAUUGCUUCCCAAAGCCUAGCCCUCUCACUAGGGAGAAGCCAUGGUUUAAGUGAAUUUCAUCCAUUUAAAAGAAUGAGAAUUCAUUUAAAGGACGUAUUUGCUGCUAAGGGGACACUGUAUAUAGAAAGAUCAAUAAUGGAAUAUUCAUGAAUAAGAAAAGGUGCCUUCACUCUAAAAGAUCACAGAAGCAAACAGAGAUGUGUCUUAGAAAUAUAAAGGAAAGGCCUAUAUUCCAGACUAGCCCCAAGGGUGUGGGGUCAGAAGAAUUUCAAGCAGUUCUGGAGGCUGAAAGUUCAAGAUCAAAGCACCAGCAUUGGUAUCUGGUGAGGGCUUCUCUCUGCUUCUAAGAUGGAGCCUUAUUGCUGCAUUCUUCAGCGAGGAGAAAUGCUGAGUUUUCAUAUGGUGGAAGGUAGAAGAGCAAGACGAAUGCAUUCCUUAUAUGAAGCCAUUUUAUAAGAGCACCAGUUUUAUUCCUAAGAGAGGCGCCCUCAUGGUCUAAUUACCUUUUAAAAGCCCCACCUCUUGCUACUGUCAUAUUGGCAACAUCUGAAUUUUGGAGGGUACCCCUUCAAACCAUAACACUUGUUUUAUAUAUAUUUAAAUUGUUCUUUAAAAUAUUUUACCUAAAAAUUUUUUUGGAAGCCCAAGCAAUGGUAGUUAUUAUUUUUGUGGUAACAGUUUUAUUGACAUAUAAUAUACAUACCAUACAAUUUAAGUAUACAUUUAUACGUAUACAAUUUAAAGUAGACAAUUCAAUGGUUUUAACUAUAUUCACAGAAUUGUACAACCAUCACUACAAUCAGUAAUUGUGUGUGUAUUCAUGUGUGUGUGUGUAUUAAAUUAUUAUUAUUUUGGUGAGGGAGUCAUAGAAGGUAAUUUAAAAAUGAGAAGGUGGCUGGGCAUGGUGGCUCAUACCUGUAAUCCCAGUGCUUUUGGGAAGCCAAGGCAGGAGAACCACUUGAGGCCAGACGUUUAAGACCAGCCUGGGCAACAUAGUGAGACCCUGCCUGCACCUGUAGUCCUAGCUACUUGGGAGGCUGAAGCAGGAAGGUUCCUUGAGCCCAGUAGUUAAAGGCUAUAGUGAGUUAUGAUUGCGCCACUACACUCCCGCCUGGGUGACAGAACAAGACUCUGUCUCUAAAAAAAAUAAACCCUGAAAAACCAGAAGGAGAUGUGGUUGGCCUUGUGAUUUUUAUUUUUCUUUGGGACAAGGUCUCACUCUGUUAUCCAGGCUGGAGUGCAGUGGUAUAAAUAAGGCUUACUGCUACCUUGACCUUCUGGUCUUGAUCUCCUGGGCUCAAGUGACCCUUCUGCCUUGGCCUUCCAAAGUGCUGGGAUUUAGGGAUGAGCCAUGGUGCUUGGCCUGGCCUAGUGAUUUUGAGUGUGCCCAACUCUAAGCCUCUGUAUUCACACUUCCAGAGCCAGUAUUUUAUCUACUUUUUCAAUUCUGGUUCUAGAACAGAGCCUGACUUAUGGUAGGUGUUCAGUAAAUACAUGUUAAAUGAUGACUGACUGAAUCGAGGUCAUUCUUUUUUUCUUUUUUUUUUUUGGAGACAGAGUUUCACUCAUCACCCAGGCUGGAGUGCAAUGGUGUGAUCUUGGCUCACUGCAACCUCCGACUUCCUGGUUCAGGCAAUUCUCCCAAGUAGCUGGAAUUACAGGUGCCUGCCACCAUGCCCAGCUAAUUUUUUUGUAUUUUUAGUAGAGAUGGGGUUUCGCCAUGUCUGCCAGGCUGGUCUUGAACUCCUGACCUCAGGUGAUUCCCCACCCCCCACCGCCCCUGCCUCUUGGCCUCCCAAGUGUUGGGAUUACAGGGGUGAGCCACUGCACCUGGCCUCAAUCAGAAGUCAUUUUUAACCCGUUUAUGUCACCAUACUUUUCCUGUUACUUCCAUGGUUCCUCUCAACAACCAUUCCUUUUUCUGGGAUACUCCAGGGAACAGCCAGAGGAGAAUUAUUCAGUGUUCUGUAGUUCCUCCUGGACUUAGCUCUAACCCACCUGCACCAUCCCAUUCUUUGCCCCAUCCUCUGUCCUGACCUUCUCUGUGGUUUCUGACUCACACCUCAUUCUCUGGUUUUCAGCCUUCCUUUAUUUGGGCUUGAGUCUCUUCUUGUAGUCUUAUUACUCACUGUUCCGGUUCAGGCAAGUUACCUAAAUGCUCCAUGCCCCAGGUUCCUCAUCCACCUAGGAAAAUAGCUUAAACAGGAGAAGAGGGGUAAAGGUGGAAUACUGGGAAACGCUGACAUUUAAAGAAAAAGAGCAACAUCUUAUCUCAUUGACUGAGGUAAAGGCUGGAGAGUGCCUAGUUUCUGCAUAUACAGGCAGCAGAUAUGAGUGAUGAUCACGAUUUCAUUACUCUUGAGACAUAGAAUCAUUAUUAAUUCAUCCUUCAGAUCUGAAACUUGUAUCAGCACCAUCUUCCUGAUGAUGACCUUGAGUUCUCUCAGCUACAAUGCAGUUUCUUCUUUCAACCAUGCUUCCUUGAGGAAACCUAGCCCCAGACUUCCUCCCUGGGUGACUGUCCUCUGGGCAGUGCCUGUACCCUGUUGACCUACCUUCAGAGCAGAAACAUAACUCGCUAUUGCUAAGUGAGUUGAUUCUGUGUUUCUGAUUGGGCAACCGUGCACCUAGUUUGCUUUCAGCUAGUUUGCUUUUCAGGAUGCUAAAUUUAGGGAUUAAUUUGCAGCUUCUCAACUUCUAGGCAGUGAGCUUGCUUCCUAUGUUUUAAACUGCCUAGUAACAGCUCUAAAGCCCCUAAACCAACCACUUGUAAUUAUGUGGAUUGCUGUCAAAAUUAGUUUACCUCUGUCAAUGACCUACAGUUCCUUAGAAUCUUUCUGUUUAUUUCAACUAUGGGUAGUUCCUAAGGCAAGGAAAAGCAUGUCAACCCUCUUUUAAUAGGAGUAGCAUUUUGCUCGUUUCAUGAGAAAAAUGAUUCCAUUGUGCUUUUUCUAGGUAUACUUCUUACAGCCGAUGAGCGUGUGUCUCUCAGUGUAUUUAUUAUCAGGGGCUCUUUGGAAAAUAAUUUAGGAUGUCUAAAAGCCAACAGUGCUUGGCCUAUCGUAGGUACUACUAAAUGUUUAUUGCAAUGGAGUGAACAAAGAAAAGGUUGUUCAAUAUGUUGAAGGCUGCAGAAAAUUGAAGUAGGAAGAGAAGCAAGCGAAGACCCUGUGUGUUAGGAUAGGGAGUCACUGGUGACUUUAGAGAGAGUUAGUAAAGUGUGCUGUGGAAGCCAAAAUGAAAUGUUAAUAUUGUUUUAAAUUCACUUUUUGGAAAAGAUGAUGAGGCACAUGUUUUGAGAAGGUAAAAAAAAAAAAAUAAUAAGGCCAUAAAGUUAGACUUGUCUUCUGUGUAAUAUUUUGUUCUUUUAUUAUGUUGGCUGACGGAGGUUGAAAUAUAUUGGCCUUUAUUUGGAGAGAUGAGAACUCCAGAGAAAAUGUGUCUGGAUAAUCAGCUAGAUUCUCAAAAGAGUAUUCCAUUUUGCAUAAGAGAACUGGAGACAAAGUACAAAUGAGCAGAAAGGAAAUUUCCAGUUUCUGGAUAAAUAAAUCACAGAAUAUUUUGUUAAUAUAUGUAGAUGUAGACAUUUUGGGGUCAGGUUUCUUCUAGAAAUAUUUAGUGCUUGCUGACAUGAAACUGCUCUUUUGUCUUUGCUCCACACCCUCACAGGGCUGCUCUGUGUCAGGUGGUGUUUGGCAUCACUGUAAGUCAUGUUCCCACUCCUUAGAAAGCACCUCUUCUAGGAGGAUUUGUGAACAGUGCCAGAGCUGGUCUGCAUCUCCACCGGUCAUUGUUUUUCUUGUUGUUUUCGGAGGCAUGGACAGAGGAUUCUCUGAAGUCAUCCUGACUGAAACAACAGAUUGAGAAUUAAUUCACUUGGGGCCAGUGCCAGGUGAUUGUCGGCUAGUGACAGAGAAGACAAAUGGAAAACAUCUGGACAUUUGAAGGGCAGUGACCAUAAACUGCUUCUCAGAUACUGGAGUCUGAGCACACCAUCUGUUGACUAAGUGAAUAGUUGACCUGAGAAGAAAGUUGCUCAAGAGGGAAGUGCCCUGAGAAAAAGCCACUGAGAGGGGAGUGUCAUCUGGGUUGGGAACCCAAAGCAAGCAGCCAUCCAGAUCCUGAGUGGGAUCAUUUUCUUUCUUUUGAUGUAGUAUGGGAAGCAUCCAGUUUUCAUAGAAUGUAGAAUAAAAUUAUACUAAUA